GAUGAACGCUGGCGGCGUGCCUAAUACAUGCAAGUCGAGCGAACAGACGAGGAGCUUGCUCCUCUGACGUUAGCGGCGGACGGGUGAGUAACACGUGGAUAACCUACCUAUAAGACUGGGAUAACUUCGGGAAACCGGAGCUAAUACCGGAUAAUAUAUUGAACCGCAUGGUUCAAUAGUGAAAGACGGUUUUGCUGUCACUUAUAGAUGGAUCCGCGCCGCAUUAGCUAGUUGGUAAGGUAACGGCUUACCAAGGCAACGAUGCGUAGCCGACCUGAGAGGGUGAUCGGCCACCCUGGAACUGAGACACGGUCCAGACUCCUACGGGAGGCAGCAGUAGGGAAUCUUCCGCAAUGGGCGAAAGCCUGACGGAGCAACGCCGCGUGAGGGAUGAAGGUCUUCGGAUCGUAAAACUCUGUUAUUAGGGAAGAACAAAUGUGUAAGUAACUAUGCACGUCUUGACGGUACCUAAUCAGAAAGCCACGGCUAACUACG
This 495-nucleotide ribosomal RNA is filed under the name uncultured bacterium. RNAcentral describes it as "partial 16S ribosomal RNA". It matches the Rfam family "Bacterial small subunit ribosomal RNA", at positions 28 to 505 of the family's 1533-position model. The record is from RNAcentral.